GAGGGUAUAGCUCAGUGGUAGUGUGCAUGGUUUGCAUGCACAAAGUCCUGGGUUCAAUCCCCAGUACCUCCA
This 72-nucleotide transfer RNA is filed under the name Camelus bactrianus (Bactrian camel). It matches the Rfam family "tRNA". Rfam says of the family: Transfer RNA (tRNA) molecules are approximately 80 nucleotides in length. Their secondary structure includes four short double-helical elements and three loops (D, anti-codon, and T loops). The record is from Rfam by way of RNAcentral. RNAcentral also lists the same sequence under 2 other names. Lineage: Eukaryota; Metazoa; Chordata; Mammalia; Artiodactyla; Camelidae.